GGAGAGGUGUCGGAGUGGCUGAUCGAGCUGGUUUCGAAAACCAGUGUACCGCUUGCGGUACCGCGGGUUCGAAUCCCGCCCUCUCCG
This 87-nucleotide transfer RNA is filed under the name Phycisphaerae bacterium. RNAcentral describes it as "tRNA-Ser". It matches the Rfam family "tRNA". From Rfam's summary of the family: Transfer RNA (tRNA) molecules are approximately 80 nucleotides in length. Their secondary structure includes four short double-helical elements and three loops (D, anti-codon, and T loops). RNAcentral also lists the same sequence under 1 other name. Lineage: Bacteria; Pseudomonadati; Planctomycetota; Phycisphaerae. The record is from RNAcentral.